This 77-nucleotide transfer RNA is filed under the name Methylophaga sulfidovorans. Its description in RNAcentral is "tRNA_Arg_CCT". It matches the Rfam family "tRNA". Rfam says of the family: Transfer RNA (tRNA) molecules are approximately 80 nucleotides in length. Their secondary structure includes four short double-helical elements and three loops (D, anti-codon, and T loops). Lineage: Bacteria; Pseudomonadati; Pseudomonadota; Gammaproteobacteria; Thiotrichales; Piscirickettsiaceae. The record is from RNAcentral. RNAcentral also lists the same sequence under 1 other name.
GUCCCCGUAGCUCAGCUGGAUAGAGCGUCCCCCUCCUAAGGGGAAGGCCGCAGGUUCGACUCCUGCCGGGGACGCCA